GGGGAUUUAGCUCAGUGGUAGAGCGCUUGCCUAGCAAGCGCAAGGCCCUGAGGAGUUCAGUCUCCA
Non-coding RNA from Rattus norvegicus (Norway rat), 66 nucleotides. The record is from Rfam. Lineage: Eukaryota; Metazoa; Chordata; Mammalia; Rodentia; Muridae.